RNAcentral lists this ribosomal RNA (309 nucleotides) under uncultured bacterium. RNAcentral's name for it is "partial 16S ribosomal RNA". It matches the Rfam family "Bacterial small subunit ribosomal RNA", at positions 504 to 807 of the family's 1533-position model. The record is from RNAcentral.
AGAGACAGCAGUAGCCACGGUAAUACGAAGGGGGCUAGCGUUGCUCGGAAUUACUGGGCGUAAAGGGAGCGUAGGCGGAUCGUUAAGUUGGGGGUGAAAGCCCGGGGCUCAACCUCGGAACUGCCUUCAAUACUGGCGAUCUUGAGUAUGAGAGAGGUGUGUGGAACUCCAAGUGUAGAGGUGAAAUUCGUAGAUAUUCGGAAGAACACCAGUGGCGAAGGCGACACACUGGCUCAUUACUGACGCUGAGGCUCGAAAGCGUGGGGAGCAAACAGGAUUAGAUACCCCUGUAGUCCCUGUCUCUUAUAC